GCGCAUCUGGUGUAGUGGUAUCAUAGUACCCUUCUACAGUACUGACCAGGGUUCGAUUUCCUAGAUGCGCA
This 71-nucleotide transfer RNA is filed under the name Eutrema salsugineum. It matches the Rfam family "tRNA". From Rfam's summary of the family: Transfer RNA (tRNA) molecules are approximately 80 nucleotides in length. Their secondary structure includes four short double-helical elements and three loops (D, anti-codon, and T loops). Further hydrogen bonds mediate the characteristic L-shaped molecular structure. tRNAs have two regions of fundamental functional importance: the anti-codon, which is responsible for specific mRNA codon recognition, and the 3' end, to which the tRNAs corresponding amino acid is attached (by aminoacyl-tRNA synthetases). tRNAs cope with the degeneracy of the genetic code in two manners: having more than one tRNA (with a specific anti-codon) for a particular amino acid; and 'wobble' base-pairing, i.e. permitting non-standard base-pairing at the 3rd anti-codon position. Lineage: Eukaryota; Viridiplantae; Streptophyta; Magnoliopsida; Brassicales; Brassicaceae. The record is from Rfam by way of RNAcentral.